RNAcentral lists this ribosomal RNA (302 nucleotides) under uncultured bacterium. RNAcentral describes it as "partial 16S ribosomal RNA". It matches the Rfam family "Bacterial small subunit ribosomal RNA", at positions 508 to 809 of the family's 1533-position model. The record is from RNAcentral.
GCAGUAGCCGCGGUAAAACGAAGGGUGCAAGCGUUAAUCGGAAUUACUGGGCGUAAAGGGUGCGUAGGCGGUGAGUUAAGUCUGUUGUGAAAUCCCCGGGCUCAACCUGGGAAUGGCAAUGGAUACUGGCUCGCUAGAGUGUGAUAGAGGAUGGUGGAAUUCCCGGUGUAGCGGUGAAAUGCGUAGAGAUCGGGAGGAACAUCAGUGGCGAAGGCGGCCAUCUGGAUCAACACUGACGCUGAAGCACGAAAGCGUGGGGAGCAAACAGGAUUAGAUACCCCGGUAGUCCCUGUCUCUUAUAA